UGAAACUGGGGAUCUUGAGGGCAGGAGAGGAAAGUGGAAUUCCUGGUGUAGCGGUGAAAUGCGUAGAAAUCAGGAGGAACACCGGUGGCGAAGGCGACUGUCUGGACUGCCCCUGACGCUG
Molecule: ribosomal RNA, 121 nt
Filed under: uncultured bacterium
Lineage: Bacteria
Description: partial 16S ribosomal RNA
Rfam family: Bacterial small subunit ribosomal RNA
Source: RNAcentral